Molecule: transfer RNA, 76 nt
Filed under: Sphingobacteriales bacterium
Lineage: Bacteria; Pseudomonadati; Bacteroidota; Sphingobacteriia; Sphingobacteriales
Description: tRNA-Pro
Rfam family: tRNA
About the family: Transfer RNA (tRNA) molecules are approximately 80 nucleotides in length.
Source: RNAcentral
CGGGAUGUAGCGCAGUCCGGUAGCGCGCUUCGUUCGGAACGAAGAGGUCGUCCCGAUUCAAUCGGGAUCAUCCCGA